This 2411-nucleotide ribosomal RNA is filed under the name Escherichia coli. RNAcentral describes it as "partial 23S ribosomal RNA". It matches the Rfam family "Bacterial large subunit ribosomal RNA", at positions 214 to 2649 of the family's 2925-position model. Lineage: Bacteria; Pseudomonadati; Pseudomonadota; Gammaproteobacteria; Enterobacterales; Enterobacteriaceae. The record is from RNAcentral.
AGGAAAAGAAAUCAACCGAGAUUCCCCCAGUAGCGGCGAGCGAACGGGGAGGAGCCCAGAGCCUGAAUCAGUGUGUGUGUUAGUGGAAGCGUCUGGAAAGGCGCGCGAUACAGGGUGACAGCCCCGUACACAAAAAUGCACAUAUUGUGAGCUCGAUGAGUAGGGCGGGACACGUGGUAUCCUGUCUGAAUAUGGGGGGACCAUCCUCCAAGGCUAAAUACUCCUGACUGACCGAUAGUGAACCAGUACCGUGAGGGAAAGGCGAAAAGAACCCCGGCGAGGGGAGUGAAAAAGAACCUGAAACCGUGUACGUACAAGCAGUGGGAGCCUCUUAAUGGGGUGACUGCGUACCUUUUGUAUAAUGGGUCAGCGACUUAUAUUCUGUAGCAAGGUUAACCGAAUAGGGGAGCCGAAGGGAAACCGAGUCUUAACUGGGCGUUAAGUUGCAGGGUAUAGACCCGAAACCCGGUGAUCUAGCCAUGGGCAGGUUGAAGGUUGGGUAACACUAACUGGAGGACCGAACCGACUAAUGUUGAAAAAUUAGCGGAUGACUUGUGGCUGGGGGUGAAAGGCCAAUCAAACCGGGAGAUAGCUGGUUCUCCCCGAAAGCUAUUUAGGUAGCGCCUCGUGAAUUCAUCUCCGGGGGUAGAGCACUGUUUCGGCAAGGGGGUCAUCCCGACUUACCAACCCGAUGCAAACUGCGAAUACCGGAGAAUGUUAUCACGGGAGACACACGGCGGGUGCUAACGUCCGUCGUGAAGAGGGAAACAACCCAGACCGCCAGCUAAGGUCCCAAAGUCAUGGUUAAGUGGGAAACGAUGUGGGAAGGCCCAGACAGCCAGGAUGUUGGCUUAGAAGCAGCCAUCAUUUAAAGAAAGCGUAAUAGCUCACUGGUCGAGUCGGCCUGCGCGGAAGAUGUAACGGGGCUAAACCAUGCACCGAAGCUGCGGCAGCGACACUAUGUGUUGUUGGGUAGGGGAGCGUUCUGUAAGCCUGUGAAGGUGGCCUGUGAGGGUUGCUGGAGGUAUCAGAAGUGCGAAUGCUGACAUAAGUAACGAUAAAGCGGGUGAAAAGCCCGCUCGCCGGAAGACCAAGGGUUCCUGUCCAACGUUAAUCGGGGCAGGGUGAGUCGACCCCUAAGGCGAGGCCGAAAGGCGUAGUCGAUGGGAAACAGGUUAAUAUUCCUGUACUUGGUGUUACUGCGAAGGGGGGACGGAGAAGGCUAUGUUGGCCGGGCGACGGUUGUCCCGGUUUAAGCGUGUAGGCUGGUUUUCCAGGCAAAUCCGGAAAACCAAGGCUGAGGCGUGAUGACGAGGCACUACGGUGCUGAAGCGACAAAUGCCCUGCUUCCAGGAAAAGCCUCUAAGCAUCAGGUAACAUCAAAUCGUACCCCAAACCGACACAGGUGGUCAGGUAGAGAAUACCAAGGCGCUUGAGAGAACUCGGGUGAAGGAACUAGGCAAAAUGGUGCCGUAACUUCGGGAGAAGGCACGCUGAUAUGUAGGUGAAGCGACUUGCUCGUGGAGCUGAAAUCAGUCGAAGAUACCAGCUGGCUGCAACUGUUUAUUAAAAACACAGCACUGUGCAAACACGAAAGUGGACGUAUACGGUGUGACGCCUGCCCGGUGCCGGAAGGUUAAUUGAUGGGGUUAGCGGUAACGCGAAGCUCUUGAUCGAAGCCCCGGUAAACGGCGGCCGUAACUAUAACGGUCCUAAGGUAGCGAAAUUCCUUGUCGGGUAAGUUCCGACCUGCACGAAUGGCGUAAUGAUGGCCAGGCUGUCUCCACCCGAGACUCAGUGAAAUUGAACUCGCUGUGAAGAUGCAGUGUACCCGCGGCAAGACGGAAAGACCCCGUGAACCUUUACUAUAGCUUGACACUGAACAUUGAGCCUUGAUGUGUAGGAUAGGUGGGAGGCUUUGAAGUGUGGACGCCAGUCUGCAUGGAGCCGACCUUGAAAUACCACCCUUUAAUGUUUGAUGUUCUAACGUUGGCCCGUAAUCCGGGUUGCGGACAGUGUCUGGUGGGUAGUUUGACUGGGGCGGUCUCCUCCUAAAGAGUAACGGAGGAGCACGAAGGUUGGCUAAUCCUGGUCGGACAUCAGGAGGUUAGUGCAAUGGCAUAAGCCAGCUUGACUGCGAGCGUGACGGCGCGAGCAGGUGCGAAAGCAGGUCAUAGUGAUCCGGUGGUUCUGAAUGGAAGGGCCAUCGCUCAACGGAUAAAAGGUACUCCGGGGAUAACAGGCUGAUACCGCCCAAGAGUUCAUAUCGACGGCGGUGUUUGGCACCUCGAUGUCGGCUCAUCACAUCCUGGGGCUGAAGUAGGUCCCAAGGGUAUGGCUGUUCGCCAUUUAAAGUGGUACGCGAGCUGGGUUUAGAACGUCGUGAGACAGUUCGGUCCCUAUCUGCCGUG